GCGGGCGGCCAGUUACCACAGAAGGGAUGCUGCGCAAGAGCAAGGGCCUGCUAAAAAACAGCUCAAGAGACUGAAGUGGUGGACAGCUUGCUGUGAAAGAUGGAAGCGUUCUUCCUGCAAGUCUGGACAAGGCCAUAUUAAAUGGCUUCAUCUGUCACAAAUCGCUGGCCACGAAUGUAAAGAACACCUUGGCCCCACUUCUGUCGAGGGAACCGAAGUUGCCUGAACAGAUGAAGAGGGGUGGUGCUACCAAUAGUGAACGACUGUGAUUUUAUAAUGUGCAAGUGUAUGAAAAAUCUCGUUACACUAAUUUAACGUUAAUUGCAUUCACUAGUCAAGUGUCAAUAUUGUAAUGUGUAAGUUUAUGCACAGUUGCAUUAAGUGAGCGCUCAUUCAAGCUUCAAGUUCGCAAUCAUAUAUUUUGGUGGUAUUCAUAGGGCACACAUUCCACUUUAAAUUGUGAUCUGCUCCUUUACUGAGGGUGCAUGCAGGUCCUUGAAACGAUUGAAAACCCUUGAAAAAGUAAAAGUACAUUUUUAAAGCCCUGAAACCCUUGGAAUUUCUUAGCAUAUAGUGUCCAAUAUUGACAAUACUAAU
Molecule: long non-coding RNA, 597 nt
Organism: Rhipicephalus sanguineus (brown dog tick)
Lineage: Eukaryota; Metazoa; Arthropoda; Arachnida; Ixodida; Ixodidae
Exons: 3
Source: RefSeq, a predicted model, not a curated record